RNAcentral lists this small RNA (106 nucleotides) under Rhizobium tibeticum. Its description in RNAcentral is "Alphaproteobacterial ar15". It matches the Rfam family "Alphaproteobacterial ar15". The record is from Rfam by way of RNAcentral. Lineage: Bacteria; Pseudomonadati; Pseudomonadota; Alphaproteobacteria; Hyphomicrobiales; Rhizobiaceae.
AGCUGGUGCAACCCGCGGAUGGCCUCCCAGCUCCGCGCAGCAGCUGUUCCCUCUGGAGGUGAAAACCUUCAUACCUAUGGGCCUCGGUUUCCGAUGGCCCAUUUUU